This 474-nucleotide long non-coding RNA is filed under the name Nicotiana benthamiana. Its description in RNAcentral is "long non-coding RNA (NBEN_LNC016714)". Lineage: Eukaryota; Viridiplantae; Streptophyta; Magnoliopsida; Solanales; Solanaceae. The record is from RNAcentral.
AAACUGUUAAUUGAACCUUUUACAUGCUCUUUGUAUGAUUCCUUUAAGUAAAGUCCUAUUUGUUUUGCAUGUCGCUUAGCAUUUAGACCUUUAAACCUAAGGUUUCAGCCUAGUUCUUACCUUAUAGUAAUAGUGGUCAUAAAUACCCUCUAGGACCUAUAGGACGGGACGGGUACUAGCACGAAAUAAUCACUCGUGACCAAUCCAUACAUUUAAAUAACCUUUACGGGGCGGGAAGCGUAGAAUAUGGAGAUGAUGACCGGUGCUCUAAUAUCUUGUGCGAUCCCUCUUUUGAGGAGUGAUUGCUGGGUAUUGCAUUGAUGUGAUCCAUAUUGUAAUUAAACCUAGGACCUCCAUUAUUUUCUUUCCUAAUGUUUUUUUUAAUUGUUUUCAUUUCUCUGCAUCAACUUCUUUUCUCAAAGACUGUCUAUUAUUCCUUGUCUUUUCAAAGUUUUAAACUUAUUUGUAACUACU